Molecule: ribosomal RNA, 500 nt
Filed under: uncultured bacterium
Lineage: Bacteria
Description: partial 16S ribosomal RNA
Rfam family: Bacterial small subunit ribosomal RNA
Source: RNAcentral
AUUGAACGCUGGCGGCAUGCCUUACACAUGCAAGUCGAACGGAUCAGAGGAGCUUGCUCUUCUGGUUAGUGGCGAACGGGUGAGUAAUGCAUCGGAACGUACCCAGUAGUGGGGGAUAACGUAGCGAAAGUUACGCUAAUACCGCAUACGACCUGAGGGUGAAAGCAGGGGAUCGCAAGACCUUGCGCUAUUGGAGCGGCCGAUGUCGGAUUAGCUAGUUGGUAGGGUAAAAGCCUACCAAGGCGACGAUCCGUAGCUGGUCUGAGAGGACGACCAGCCACACUGGGACUGAGACACGGCCCAGACUCCUACGGGAGGCAGCAGUGGGGAAUUUUGGACAAUGGGGGAAACCCUGAUCCAGCCAUGCCGCGUGAGUGAAGAAGGCCUUCGGGUUGUAAAGCUCUUUCAGACGGAAAGAAAUCUUCCGGGCUAAUACCUCGGGAGGAUGACGGUACCGUAAGAAGAAGCACCGGCUAACUACGUGCCAGCAGCCGCCGCGG